AUAGCUUGACACUGAACAUUGAGCCUUGAUGUGUAGGAUAGGUGGGAGGCUUUGAAGUGUGGACGCCAGUCUGCAUGGAGCCGACCUUGAAAUACCACCCUUUAAUGUUUGAUGUUCUAACGUUGACCCGUAAUCCGGGUUGCGGACAGUGUCUGGUGGGUAGUUUGACUGGGGCGGUCUCCUCCUAAAGAGUAACGGAGGAGCACGAAGGUUGGCUAAUCCUGGUCGGACAUCAGGAGGUUAGUGCAAUGGCAUAAGCCAGCUUGACUGCGAGCGUGACGGCGCGAGCAGGUGCGAAAGCAGGUCAUAGUGAUCCGGUGGUUCUGAAUGGAAGGGCCAUCGCUCAACGGAUAAAAGGUACUCCGGGGAUAACAGGCUGAUACCGCCCAAGAGUUCAUAUCGACGGCGGUGUUUGGCACCUCGAUGUCGGCUCAUCACAUCCUGGGGCUGAAGUAGGUCCCAAGGGUAUGGCUGUUCGCCAUUUAAAGUGGUACGCGAGCUGGGUUUAGAACGUCGUGAGACAGUUCGGUCCCUAUCUGCCGUGGGCGCUGGAGAACUGAGGGGGGCUGCUCCUAGUACGAGAGGACCGGAGUGGACGCAUCACUGGUGUUCGGGUUGUCAUGCCAAUGGCACUGCCCGGUAGCUAAAUGCGGAAGAGAUAAGUGCUGAAAGCAUCUAAGCACGAAACUUGCCCCGAGAUGAGUUCUCCCUGACUCCUUGAGAGUCCUGAAGGAACGUUGAAGACGACGACGUUGAUAGGCCGGGUGUGUAAGCGCAGCGAUGCGUUGAGCUAACCGGUACUAAUGAACCGUGAGG
RNAcentral lists this ribosomal RNA (816 nucleotides) under Escherichia coli. RNAcentral describes it as "partial 23S ribosomal RNA". It matches the Rfam family "Bacterial large subunit ribosomal RNA", at positions 2106 to 2916 of the family's 2925-position model. The record is from RNAcentral. Lineage: Bacteria; Pseudomonadati; Pseudomonadota; Gammaproteobacteria; Enterobacterales; Enterobacteriaceae.